UGUAUCUUUAGAAAUCAACUCCCUUUUGGGGUUAAAACGGGGGAUGGUAGGUUGACUCAUUCAUUACGAAAUCUCCGAAACUAGACCAGCUACAAAUUCGAAAUUUGGCAGGUAGGUUUCUUAUAGGGCGUAAACAUCCGCUAAGAACGGAUUUAACGAAACUCGACCCCUAAGGGGAUAAAAUGGGGGUUGGAAGUUUGUAUGAAAGUCCUAUAUUUUUGAAGUGAGAGACUUGAAAUUUAAAAUGUAUGCUCUAUAGAUAGUGAGGAGGUGUCCAAAUAAUGUAUCUUUAGAAAUCAAUUCCCUUUUGGAGUUAAAACGGG
RNAcentral lists this unclassified non-coding RNA (323 nucleotides) under Melitaea cinxia (Glanville fritillary). RNAcentral describes it as "misc RNA ENSMCXG00005004523.1". The record is from RNAcentral. Lineage: Eukaryota; Metazoa; Arthropoda; Insecta; Lepidoptera; Nymphalidae.